CCUACGGGUGGCAGCAGUGAGGAAUAUUGGUCAAUGGCCGGAAGGCUGAACCAGCCAUGCCGCGUGAAGGUCAGUGCCCUAUGGGCUUUAAACUUCUUUUGUGCGGGAGCAAUAAUGGUCACGUGUGGCCAGACGAGAGUACCGUACGAAUAAGCAUCAGCUAACUCCGUGCCAGCAGCCGCGGUCAUACGGGGGAUGCAAGCGUUAGCCGGAUUUGUUGGGUUUAAAGGGUUCGUAGGCUGUGAGGUAAGUCAGCGGUGAAAUGCCCCCGCUCAACGGGGUGAAGUGCCAUUGAUACUGCCUUGCUGGAAUGCGGAUGCCGUGGGAGGAAUGUGUGGUGUAGCGGUGAAAUGCAUAGAUAUCACACAGAACACCGAUUGCGAAGGCAUCUCACGAAUCCGCGAUUGACGCUGAUGCACGAAAGCGUGGGUAUCAAACAGGAUUAGAUACCCCUGUAGUC
RNAcentral lists this ribosomal RNA (460 nucleotides) under uncultured bacterium. Its description in RNAcentral is "partial 16S ribosomal RNA". It matches the Rfam family "Bacterial small subunit ribosomal RNA", at positions 338 to 795 of the family's 1533-position model. The record is from RNAcentral.